This 107-nucleotide small nuclear RNA is filed under the name Dasypus novemcinctus (nine-banded armadillo). Lineage: Eukaryota; Metazoa; Chordata; Mammalia; Cingulata; Dasypodidae. The record is from RNAcentral.
GUGCUCACUUCAGCAGCAUGUAUACUAAAAUUGGAUUGAUAAAGAGAAGAUUAGCGUGGCCCCUGCUCAAGGGUGACAUGCAAAUUCAUGAAGCAUUCCAUAUUUUU